Molecule: ribosomal RNA, 253 nt
Filed under: uncultured bacterium
Lineage: Bacteria
Description: partial 16S ribosomal RNA
Rfam family: Bacterial small subunit ribosomal RNA
Source: RNAcentral
UACAGAGGGUGCGAGCGUUAAUCGGAAUUACUGGGCGUAAAGCGCACGUAGGUGGUUUAGUAAGUCGGAUGUGAAAUCCCCGGGCUUAACCUGGGAACUGCAUUCGAAACUGCUUUACUAGAGUAUGGGAGAGGGCAGUGGAAUUUCAGGUGUAGCGGUGAAAUGCGUAGAUAUCUGAAGGAACAUCAGUGGCGAAAGCGACUGCCUGGACCAAUACUGACGCUCAUGUGCGAAAGCGUGGGGAGCAAACAGG